UAUUAACUCGUGAUUAAUCUUUUGUGUUGUUGCAUGAUCCUUUGAAAUGUUUUGAGUGAUUUAAGGUUAAGUUACUACUGAUUCUAAGUGCUUUGGAAGUUAAAGUGCAAGUUGCCACCCACACUUUAGCCAGACAAAGGAGUCAGCCAUCUUGUAUUCAAGACUCCAUUUUGAAUCCAUACACACGCACACACACUACUCCUUUGUGAGAACAAAGGACCCCAUUCCUACAUCCUACAUACACACAAAACACCUUGAACAUUAUUUUGAAUAUACAUCCUUUUAUUAUAUCACAUGGUUAUUAUUCAUUUAUGCCACUGUUUAUUCAUUUGACAAAUUGUUAAUUAAACGUUAUAAAAUUCAGAUUUUCGUCUCCAGUAGCUUUGUUGUGUCGAAGAGAAGUCUCUGCUCCAAGGAUUCUACGAACUUCAAGAAAGACUGAUAAGAGUUUUGGAUUCAAUUUUUCCCCGGAAAAAGGGGAAUGGUGCCCCGUAUAUCUAAGAAUAUCUUAAUUAAUUAAUAAAUCAGUAAAUAUUCCCAUAUUUACAGAAUUUAUUGAAGAAUCCAAAAGUAAGUUGAAGCUUACUAAUUGUUCGCUCCUAAUAACCCCAACAACCCUUAUCGGAGUUAUUGAGUUAGAGGUACAACAGCAUCUCGGUGCCACUGAGAAGGAAUCGGACAAGCAGGAAGUGUUGAAGUCGAUGUUCAAAUGUAAUGGAAAAAAAAUCCAAAACAGAAAAAUUGCUGAAAGUAUGUUUUGGUUUUAUUAUUGUAAAAUAUUCUGGGUGUUUUUUUAUUGAGUAAACAUUUGCAAUAGGCCUGUUUCCACGUCCGGGUAGUUUUACCGGACAUUCGCGGUCUACGUGCGUCUCCCAUUUGUAAGCAAAAUGGAAGAAAGGUGACUCAAAGACCUUAGUCUUUUACAAGAGUUUCAAAAAUACUUGUGUACUUCUUAUGAAAGCUUAUAAAAAUAUUUUUCCACCAACAUUUUGAUUUUAAUCUCAAUAUUUCCUCAUUUUUUCCUGUAUUUUCAGUGUCUGUAAUGUGGCCUAACAUAAGAAACUUACAACAACCAACAUUACUCUGGAAAAAGAUCAGAGUGGAAAGGCAACAAAACAUGAACUUUUAUUAUUUCAUCACUUUAUAGCUUGGAUUUAUUGCUGAAAUGAGAAACUUUUACAAAACUUGAAAAUGUGUAAAAAAACAAAAAACAAAAACAAAUAACAAAAAAAUUAAAGAAUGUAAACAAGUAAAUACAUUUUAAGUACAGGGAUAAAUAUUGUAAUGCAUGAUACAAAGUAUUUGUUUUAAAAUAUCAUCUUGAAGUAUUUAAGUAAGUUUACUUUAAACAGUUAUAAUUCUUUCAGAAAGUCUAAAGAGCUAGAAACUAAACGACGAACGGUAACAUAGACAGGUUUCAUGAUUCUCUUUAUAUCUCAGUUUCAGCACCACUGAAGCCAGCUGAGGGGAAUCCUCAGACCAGAUCCAAAAGUCCUGGUCAUCCACUCGUCGCUCCUGUCUACCAACCCGCUCCCUUUCCGGUUAACGUUCCUCCGCAGCCAACAUAGACAACUUCACAGCCAUUUCAACAGGACCAGCAAUUUCCCAGGCCUUGAUUUUUCCCAGGAAAGAAAACCAACGAGAAGAGUGGUGGUGGUCAUCAGCCUCCUAACAAACAAGGCAAAAGGCCUCCAAGUUCUCAAGGACACAAGCCUGAUGGAAAAGAUAAACCCAGAACCCAUCCGCCUUCGGAGAAGUCUGCUGGGCACAAACCCCAUCCUAAAAAUAAUCCACACCCAAAGAAAAGCAAGUAGUGUCUGUAACUAGUUUGCUGCUGGCUUCUGCAGACGUUGAUGUAACUCAGAUUUGUGUCAGUAACGUGGAUAAUGGCUGUUUUGGGUAUAUAAAACAAGAUCAGACGUAACUUUUUG
Non-coding RNA from Nothobranchius furzeri (turquoise killifish), 1931 nucleotides. The record is from RefSeq and is a predicted model, not a curated record. Lineage: Eukaryota; Metazoa; Chordata; Actinopteri; Cyprinodontiformes; Nothobranchiidae.